Molecule: ribosomal RNA, 252 nt
Filed under: uncultured bacterium
Lineage: Bacteria
Description: partial 16S ribosomal RNA
Rfam family: Bacterial small subunit ribosomal RNA
Source: RNAcentral
UACGUAGGGGGCAAGCGUUGUCCGGAAUCAUUGGGCGUAAAGAGCGUGUAGGCGGUCCGGUAAGUCCGCUGUGAAAGUCGGGGCUCAACCCUCGAAUGCCGGUGGAUACUGUCGGGCUAGAGUGCGGAAGAGGCGAGUGGAAUUCCUGGUGUAGCGGUGAAAUGCGCAGAUAUCAGGAGGAACACCUAUUGCGAAGGCAGCUCGCUGGGACGUAACUGACGCUGAGACGCGAAAGCGUGGGGAGCAAACGGG